RNAcentral lists this long non-coding RNA (251 nucleotides) under Lathyrus oleraceus (garden pea). RNAcentral describes it as "Pisum sativum (pea) long non-coding RNA (PSAT_LNC014324)". Lineage: Eukaryota; Viridiplantae; Streptophyta; Magnoliopsida; Fabales; Fabaceae. The record is from RNAcentral.
UUUCUGAUGCAACUUAGGGUUUUUCUUUUUCUUUUGAUUGAGAAAGGCAUAAGACUAUUUUCUUUUGAUUGAGAAACACAGCUAGCCCUUUCGUUUUUAUUUAAGUUUAUUUUUAUAGUUUUAUAGUUUUAUUGUUUUAAUGUUGUAAUGUUUUAAUUUUAUUUAGGUUUAUUUAUUAAUUUAGUUGUAAUUUUAUUUUAUUAGAUUUGUUUUUAUUUUAUUAAUUAGAUUUUCAUUUAGUUUUGGUUUUA